This is a long non-coding RNA of Austrofundulus limnaeus, 803 nucleotides long. RefSeq lists it as uncharacterized. The transcript is spliced from 3 exons. The record is from RefSeq and is a predicted model, not a curated record. NCBI's taxonomy places the organism in Eukaryota, Metazoa, Chordata, Actinopteri, Cyprinodontiformes, Rivulidae.
UCUUGUUCCAGUUUAGUUUUAUCUUAUUUCAUGUUCCAGUUCAUCCUCAUAGUCUUGUUCCCAGCCUUUCAGCUCACAUCCAGCUUCUGCUCAUUGCUCUCGCCCAUCCCGUCAUAGAAACUCUAAUCAAGCUCAUUUCACUCACCUGUUUCCAGCAGUAUACAACCCAGUCUCACUCUCCAGUUCACUGCCAGAUUAUCAUCAGCCUCACCUAUGAUCUUCCAGCAUUCUUGUCCCGCUCUUGGCUCAUGUCCCCUGGUUUAACGUCUCCUGCCUCAGCCUGUCGGAUCCCGCCUGCCAUCUGCUCUCACGGUAAUGACCUUUUUUCUGUCUCUUGGAUUAUUGUCACUCGCCUGCUCCCUGAAUGGAAGUGCGCCACAUCUGACCUCCUGGAUCUCGACCCCUGAACGCAUCUCUGGACCAACGACUCAGUCAUCUCCUUCAAACCUGGUAACUUCCUCUGACCACCUGUGUAUGACCCUUGCCCCGUUUCUGACCUCGAGUAAGUCCAGCGAUUAUUAUCGCUCCUCUUGACAACACAGCCCGGAACCAAAACACAUCAGGUGUUGUUUCAACUCGGACUUCAACUCAGCUGGAAAGAUGAGCAGGAGAAAGUGUGUGCAUGACACUACGCCACUCCGUCUAGAUGGUGCGGACCUGAGAUUUGCUGAGGAAGGUGAAAGCUUCAAGAAACCUAAGAUGGAUCAGAACCAUUUUGGGAAAAUGUAAUUUUUGAUUUCUGCAAAUGAGAACUUUGAUGAGAUUCUUCUGACAUUUAGUAAGAUAAAAGUUACAAAAAAUAA